This 274-nucleotide ribosomal RNA is filed under the name uncultured bacterium. Its description in RNAcentral is "partial 16S ribosomal RNA". It matches the Rfam family "Bacterial small subunit ribosomal RNA", at positions 523 to 796 of the family's 1533-position model. The record is from RNAcentral.
AUACGAAAGGUGCAAGCGUUGUUCGGAUUUACUGGGCGUAAAGAGAGUGUAGGUUGCUUAUUAAGUCGGAUGUGAAAUCCCGGGGCUCAACCUCGGAACUGCAUUCGAUACUGGUAGACUAGAGUUCGGGAAAAAUAAGCGGAAUUCCGUGUGUAGCAGUGAAAUGCGUAGAUAUACGGAGGAACACCUGAGGCGAAGGCGGCUUACUGGACCGAUACUGACACUGAGACUCGAAAGCGUGGGUAGCAAACAGGAUUAGAAACCCCGGUAGUCC